This 303-nucleotide ribosomal RNA is filed under the name uncultured bacterium. Its description in RNAcentral is "partial 16S ribosomal RNA". It matches the Rfam family "Bacterial small subunit ribosomal RNA", at positions 507 to 807 of the family's 1533-position model. The record is from RNAcentral.
AGCAGCAGCCACGGGAAUACAGAGGGUGCGAGCGUUAAUCGGAUUUACUGGGCGUAAAGCGUGCGUAGGCGGCUAAUUGAGUCGGAUGUGAAAUCCCCGAGCUUAACUUGGGAAUUGCAUUCGAUACUGGUUAGCUAGAGUGUGGGAGAGGAUGGUAGAAUUCCAGGUGUAGCGGUGAAAUGCGUAGAGAUCUGGAGGAAUACCGAUGGCGAAGGCAGCCAUCUGGCCUAACACUGACGCUGAGGUACGAAAGCAUGGGGAGCAAACAGGAUUAGAUACCCCUGUAGUCCCUGUCUCUUAUAC